UGAGGAAUAUUGAGCAAUGGGCGCAAGCCUGACUCAGCAACGCCGCGUGGAUGAAGAAGGCCUUCGGGUUGUAAAAUCCUUUUCUGAGGGACGAUAAUGACGGUACCUCAGGAAUAAGUUCCGGCUAACUACGUGCCAGCAGCCGCGGUAAAACGUAGGGGACAAGCGUUAUCCGGAUUUACUGGGCGUAAAGCGCCCGUAGGCGGCUUAACAAGUUGGAUGUGAAAGCUCCCGGCUUAACUGGGAGAGGUCAUUCAAAACUGUUAGGCUAGAGGAUGGAAGAGGAGAGCGGAAUUCCCGGUGUAGUGGUGGAAUGCGUAGAGAUCGGGAGGAACACCAGUGGCGAAAGCGGCUCUCUGGUUCACACCUGACGCUGAGGGGCGAAAGCGUGGGGAGCGAACGG
Molecule: ribosomal RNA, 403 nt
Filed under: uncultured bacterium
Lineage: Bacteria
Description: bacterial SSU rRNA
Rfam family: Bacterial small subunit ribosomal RNA
Source: RNAcentral